This 28-nucleotide small RNA is filed under the name Bombyx mori (domestic silkworm). RNAcentral describes it as "ovarian small RNA-24081". Lineage: Eukaryota; Metazoa; Arthropoda; Insecta; Lepidoptera; Bombycidae. The record is from RNAcentral.
UAUUACAAGAUGAUUUGAUAACAGUGGU